Molecule: ribosomal RNA, 332 nt
Filed under: uncultured bacterium
Lineage: Bacteria
Description: bacterial SSU rRNA
Rfam family: Bacterial small subunit ribosomal RNA
Source: RNAcentral
CGCGUAGGCGGGAUGGCAAGUCGGUCGUGAAAUCCUUCGGCUCAACCGAAGAACGUCGGCCGAUACCGCCGUUCUUGAGGGAUGCAGAGGAGACUGGAAUUCCCGGUGUAGCGGUGAAAUGUGUAGAGAUCGGGAGGAACACCGGUGGCGAAGGCGGGUCUCUGGGCAUCUCCUGACGCUGAGGCGCGAAAGCGUGGGGAGCAAACGGGAUUAGAUACCCCGGUAGUCCACGCCAUAAACGAUGACGACUAGGUGUGGGGUGGUUCAGUCCACUCCGUGCCGCAGCUAACGCAUUAAGUCGUCCGCCUGGGGAGUACGGCCGCAAGGUUGAA